Non-coding RNA from Vicugna pacos (alpaca), 835 nucleotides. The record is from RefSeq and is a predicted model, not a curated record. Lineage: Eukaryota; Metazoa; Chordata; Mammalia; Artiodactyla; Camelidae.
UCCAAAUAAUUUCUCAACUGAUCGGUCAAACUUAGUUAAAUUAUUCCAGGUGUGCUAUGCAGGGGGUUAUUACAACCAUAAGGAAAAUGGUAACGUUAAGACAUGCCCAUUUGCCCAGUGUCCUGAUGAAUUGCAUUCUCUCUCUCCUGUCUCCCUGCAGCCUAUCGACAGCUGGGCUUGUCAAUCCAGUUGAGGGCUGCCGGCAAACACCGAGGUCCAGGCUGCUGUGGAUGGAAAGGAUUGAAUGCCCAUCAGCCAUCAAAAUGAACAGACUGCUGACACAUGGAACAGCAUGGAUGAUUGUCAGAGACAAAAACCCUGCAGCAAAGCAGAUUCAUAGGAUACAAGAUACCUGUAAGAUCAAAUAAAUCAGUUGCAUUUAGCCUUUCUGCUGAUGGAAGUGAAAAGUGUCAAGCAGUGCUGAGGACAUGCUGGGAGGACUGGAAAGAGGGAUCUUGCUGCUGUCGAGGACGCCACACGUGUUACAAGAGGACAGCGGAUAUGAUGUCCGGCAUCGCCCAAAAGGAUGCAAGACGCUCAGGACCAGCUCUGGAGGUUCUGGACACAGAGGAGCUUCUAAUCAAUAUAUCUUUAAAGCUGAAAACAAGAGAAGCAACAUGAAGCUGUGAUUUUGUAGGGUCUGGGGCCCUGGACUGCCUGGAUGUUCUUUCUAAAGUCUGCCAUUGGUACCCUGCCAUCUGCUUCCCUGGUUUUGAACAGCAGAAAAUUACCCAUAUUGAAUGUAGUCUGGUACAGCCAUUAUGGAAAACAGUAUGGAGAUUCCUCAAAAAACUAAAAAUAGAGUUACCAUAUGAUCCAGCAGUCCCACUCCUGG